GAGGAUACUGAAGUGGCCAUGCUGGGAGUGGAGUGUGGAGCAAAUACUUGCUUACUGACAAGCUAAUGAUGCCAUGGUAUUGUCCUGGGAAGGAAUAUAAGAAAAUGGAGAAGAGAAGCACAAUAACAAGUUCAGAAAGAUGAUAUUUUCACCACUCAGAAUUUUAGGUUCACAUUUAAAGAAUCUUAUGGAAGUCGGAAAAGGAAAGAACCAAUACAGCCUUUUCAGUUGUGGAAGAAUUAUUUGAAAUAAAGAAUUGGAGGCUGUGCCCCAAUAAAAUGAGAGAGAAGACCAAGGAAAAGGAAGAGACGGGGUCCUGAAAAGAGGGAAGACACGGUGAAGGGAAUUGUCAGGAUGACGGCCGUGUGCCAGAUCCGGAGAGCAGCAGUCUACAUGGAGCUGGACUGGCAUCUCCAGGAUAGAUUCUCUGAAGUACUAGAAAAUGAAAAAAUUUUUGUUAGGGCGUUCGUCAGACAGUGGAAAAGAGAUCACAAUGGUUAAUUUCGCUAUGUUGGAAGAGUUACUACAGGAGACAAAUACCCUUCUUGGCUGGAGAUCACUG
This 562-nucleotide long non-coding RNA is filed under the name Equus caballus (horse). RNAcentral describes it as "lncRNA (ENSECAG00000047610.1)". Lineage: Eukaryota; Metazoa; Chordata; Mammalia; Perissodactyla; Equidae. The record is from RNAcentral.